Molecule: ribosomal RNA, 1333 nt
Filed under: Curtobacterium sp. MG-2011-31-BS
Lineage: Bacteria; Bacillati; Actinomycetota; Actinomycetes; Micrococcales; Microbacteriaceae
Description: bacterial SSU rRNA
Rfam family: Bacterial small subunit ribosomal RNA
Source: RNAcentral
AGGACGAACGCUGGCGGCGUGCUUAACACAUGCAAGUCGAACGAUGAUGCCCAGCUUGCUGGGUGGAUUAGUGGCGAACGGGUGAGUAACACGUGAGUAACCUGCCCCUGACUCUGGGAUAAGCGUUGGAAACGACGUCUAAUACUGGAUAUGACUGCCGGCCGCAUGGUCUGGUGGUGGAAAGAUUUUUUGGUUGGGGAUGGACUCGCGGCCUAUCAGCUUGUUGGUGAGGUAAUGGCUCACCAAGGCGACGACGGGUAGCCGGCCUGAGAGGGUGACCGGCCACACUGGGACUGAGACACGGCCCAGACUCCUACGGGAGGCAGCAGUGGGGAAUAUUGCACAAUGGGCGAAAGCCUGAUGCAGCAACGCCGCGUGAGGGAUGACGGCCUUCGGGUUGUAAACCUCUUUUAGUAGGGAAGAAGCGUAAGUGACGGUACCUGCAGAAAAAGCACCGGCUAACUACGUGCCAGCAGCCGCGGUAAUACGUAGGGUGCAAGCGUUGUCCGGAAUUAUUGGGCGUAAAGAGCUCGUAGGCGGUUUGUCGCGUCUGCUGUGAAAUCCCGAGGCUCAACCUCGGGCUUGCAGUGGGUACGGGCAGACUAGAGUGCGGUAGGGGAGAUUGGAAUUCCUGGUGUAGCGGUGGAAUGCGCAGAUAUCAGGAGGAACACCGAUGGCGAAGGCAGAUCUCUGGGCCGUAACUGACGCUGAGGAGCGAAAGCGUGGGGAGCGAACAGGAUUAGAUACCCUGGUAGUCCACGCCGUAAACGUUGGGCGCUAGAUGUAGGGACCUUUCCACGGUUUCUGUGUCGUAGCUAACGCAUUAAGCGCCCCGCCUGGGGAGUACGGCCGCAAGGCUAAAACUCAAAGGAAUUGACGGGGGCCCGCACAAGCGGCGGAGCAUGCGGAUUAAUUCGAUGCAACGCGAAGAACCUUACCAAGGCUUGACAUACACCGGAAACGGCCAGAGAUGGUUGCCCCCUUGUGGUCGGUGUACAGGUGGUGCAUGGUUGUCGUCAGCUCGUGUCGUGAGAUGUUGGGUUAAGUCCCGCAACGAGCGCAACCCUCGUUCUAUGUUGCCAGCGCGUUAUGGCGGGGACUCAUAGGAGACUGCCGGGGUCAACUCGGAGGAAGGUGGGGAUGACGUCAAAUCAUCAUGCCCCUUAUGUCUUGGGCUUCACGCAUGCUACAAUGGCCGGUACAAAGGGCUGCGAUACCGUAAGGUGGAGCGAAUCCCAAAAAGCCGGUCUCAGUUCGGAUUGAGGUCUGCAACUCGACCUCAUGAAGUCGGAGUCGCUAGUAAUCGCAGAUCAGCAACGCUGCGGUGAAUACG